RNAcentral lists this ribosomal RNA (468 nucleotides) under uncultured bacterium. RNAcentral describes it as "partial 16S ribosomal RNA". It matches the Rfam family "Bacterial small subunit ribosomal RNA", at positions 28 to 507 of the family's 1533-position model. The record is from RNAcentral.
GACGAACGCUGGCGGCGUGCUUAACACAUGCAAGUCGAACGGAAAGGUCCUGCAUUUGUGGGCUGUUCGAGUGGCGAACGGGUGAGUAACAAGCGAGUAACCUGCCUUUGACUCUGGGAUAACUUCCGGAAACUGGGGCUAAUACCGGAUAGGAGCUCCUGCUGCCUGGUGGGGGUUGGAAAGUUUCGGCGGUUGGGGAUGGACUCGCGGCUUAUCAGCUUGUUGGUGGGGUAGUGGCUUACCAAGGCGUUGACGGGUAGCCGGCCUGAGAGGGUGACCGGCCACAUUGGGACUGAGAUACGGACCAGACUCCUACGGGAGGCAGCAGUGGGGAAUAUUGCACAAUGGGCGGAAGCCUGAUGCAGCAACGCCGGGUGCGGGAUGACGGCCUUCGGGUUGUAAACCGCUUUCGCCUGUGACGAAGCGUGAGUGACGGUAAUGGGUAAAGAAGCAACGGCUAACUACGUG